AAAGUGCUGGGAUUUCAGGUGCUAGCCACUGCACCCGGCUAUGUUAUCUGUUUUUAACAAUUAAAAAGAAAAAAGCCCUUCACAUGAGCUUUAAAUUUCCCUUGAAUUUUUUUUUUUUUUUUUUUUUAAAGACAAAGUCUGACUCUGUCUCAAAAAAAUAAAUAAAUAAAUAACUGAAACAUCCUAUUUCAAGCCCUGUCCUCUUGGUUUCCCUUUUUAAUUAAUUAAUUUUUUCUUUUAAAAAAAUCAAGACAGGGUCUCGCUAUCUCACCCAGGCUGGUCUUGAACACCUGGUCUCAAACAACCCUCCUGCUUCAACCUCCCAAACUGCUGGGAUUACAGACAUGAGCCACUACACCUGUCCUUGUGUUCCUCUCAACACACUUGAAUUGAUCAGACUCUGGUAUUCAAAUUGUGAAAAUUCAUUUCCAAAAUCAAAGAACUAGUCAACAGUAGCACACUUCUCCCCAAAGAUGCCUAUUAUACAAUAAGCUCCCACAUGAUCAGAUGUAGAGGCACAAUGAUUCCCAUAAUUUCUUUUUUUUUUUUUCUUUUUUGAGACA
Molecule: long non-coding RNA, 563 nt
Organism: Cercocebus atys (sooty mangabey)
Lineage: Eukaryota; Metazoa; Chordata; Mammalia; Primates; Cercopithecidae
Exons: 2
Source: RefSeq, a predicted model, not a curated record